UAGACUGAAGGGCACCGAGGUACUGGCUACAACAGCCUGGGGCAGGAAGGUGACCACCUGCCAACAGAACGGAUGUGAGAGAGGAGCAGGUGGAGGUGUGGGGACUGAACGCCAAGCCGGUUAAGGAAAGCUGGGACACCUUCAUCUCUUUGGGAGCAGGCCUUUCCAGGUCUCUGCUGCUGCUCCCAGAACCCUCCAUGUGAUGCCCCUCCUACUUCCCUCCAGAAGGAGAACACCGUGAGAGAAAGCAGGGCUUCAGAGUCCAUGGCACUUGGCUUAGAAAUCUGACACCACCUCUCAGACUGGGGGCGCCUGGGUGGCUCAGUCGGUUAAGCGUCAGACUUCAGCUCAGGUCAUGAUCUCGCGAUCCAUGAGUUCGAGCCCCGCAUUGGGGUCUGUGCUGACAGCUCAGAGCCUGGAGCCUGUUUCAGAUUCUGUGUCUCCCUCUCUCCCUGACCCUCCCCCGUUCAUGCUCUGUCUCUCUCUGUCUCAAAAAUAAAUAAA
Molecule: long non-coding RNA, 504 nt
Organism: Neofelis nebulosa (Clouded leopard)
Lineage: Eukaryota; Metazoa; Chordata; Mammalia; Carnivora; Felidae
Exons: 2
Source: RefSeq, a predicted model, not a curated record